RNAcentral lists this long non-coding RNA (265 nucleotides) under Lathyrus oleraceus (garden pea). Its description in RNAcentral is "Pisum sativum (pea) long non-coding RNA (PSAT_LNC007335)". Lineage: Eukaryota; Viridiplantae; Streptophyta; Magnoliopsida; Fabales; Fabaceae. The record is from RNAcentral.
AAAAAAAUCUCAUUACUUUGAUUUAAGAAAAUGACCCCUAGUGAUAUUAUAUCAUUAUUCCAAUAUUAAAAUUUUGAUUUAGAAAUCCAAAGACCGUAUCCCUUAUCCCUGACUUUAAUCCCUAAUUUUAUCCCUAACAAUUGUUAUAGAUUUUAUCCCAUGUUAUCCCCAAAUUAUCCAAUGAUUAUCCCAUUAAUUACAAAAGAAAAAUUAUAAUACUUAAAUAUUAUAUAUUUAUAUGACAUAUCCCUUAUCCCAAUUUAUA